GACGAACGCUGGCGGCGUGCUUAACACAUGCAAGUCGAACGGAAAGGCCCUGCUUGCAGGGUACUAGAGUGGCGAACGGGUGAGUAACACGUGGGUGAUCUGCCCUGCACUUCGGGAUAAGCCUGGGAAACGGGGUCUAAUACCGGAUAGGAGACAUUAUUAGCGGGAGGGUUGGAAAGUUUUUUGGGUGUAGGAUGAGCGGGCGGCCUAUCAGCUUGUUGGUGGGGUAAUGGCCUACCAAGGCGGCGACGGGUAGCCGGCCUGUGGGGGUGGGCGGCCACACUGGGACUGACGGACGGCCCCGACUCCGACUGGUGGCAGCAGUGCGGAAUCUUGCACCAUGCGCGCCGGCCUGAUGCAGCGACGCCGCGUGGGGGAUGACGGCCUUCGGGUUGUAAACUCCUUUCGCUAGGGACGAAGCUUUUUGUGACGGUACCUAGAGAAGAAGCACCGGCUAACUACGUG
This 465-nucleotide ribosomal RNA is filed under the name uncultured bacterium. RNAcentral describes it as "partial 16S ribosomal RNA". It matches the Rfam family "Bacterial small subunit ribosomal RNA", at positions 28 to 507 of the family's 1533-position model. The record is from RNAcentral.